GGGAUCCCCAGUAUCCCUCAGUUUCCUGGGAUCACCCCAGCUCCCUGGCUCCAUGGGAUCCCUCAGCUUCCUGGGGUUCCCCAGCUCCCCGGCUCCAUGGGAUCCCUCAGCUUCCUGGGAUCCCCAGGAUCCCUCAGUUUCCUGGGGUCCCCCAGCUCCAUGGGAUCCCUCAGUUUCCUGGGGUUCCCCAGCUCCCUGGCUCCAUGGAUCCCUCAGUUUCCUGGGAUUCCCCCAGCUCCAUGGGAUCCCUCAGCUUCCUGGGGUUCCCCAGCUCCCCAGCUCCAUGGGAUCCCUUAGUUUCCUGGGAUCACCCCAGCUCCAUGGAUCCCCAGGAUCCCUCAGUUUCCUGGGGUUCCCCCAGCUCCAUGGGAUCCCUCAGCUUCCUGGGGUUCCCCAGCUCCCCAGCUCCAUGGGAUCCCUCAGCUUCCUGGGACCCC
This 437-nucleotide long non-coding RNA is filed under the name Taeniopygia guttata (zebra finch). RNAcentral describes it as "lncRNA (ENSTGUG00000021132.1)". The record is from RNAcentral. Lineage: Eukaryota; Metazoa; Chordata; Aves; Passeriformes; Estrildidae.